RNAcentral lists this ribosomal RNA (418 nucleotides) under uncultured prokaryote. RNAcentral's name for it is "bacterial SSU rRNA". It matches the Rfam family "Bacterial small subunit ribosomal RNA", at positions 338 to 774 of the family's 1533-position model. The record is from RNAcentral.
CCUACGGGAGGCAGGAGUGGGGAAUAUUGCACAAUGGGCGAAAGCCUGAUGCAGCAACGCCGCGUGAGCGAUGAAGGCCUUCGGGUCGUAAAGCUCUGUCCUCAAGGAAGAUAAUGACGGUACUUGAGGAGGAAGCCCCGGCUAACUACGUGCCAGCAGCCGCGGUAAUACGUAGGGGGCUAGCGUUAUCCGGAAUUACUGGGCGUAAAGGGUGCGUAGGUGGUUUCUUAAGUCAGAGGUGAAAGGCUACGGCUCAACCGUAGUAAGCCUUUGAAACUGGGAAACUUGAGUGCAGGAGAGGAGAGUGGAAUUCCUAGUGUAGCGGUGAAAUGCGUAGAUAUUAGGAGGAACACCAGUUGCGAAGGCGACUUUCUGGCUGUCUGCUGACACUGAAACACGAGAGCUAGGGGAGCAAACA